This 253-nucleotide ribosomal RNA is filed under the name uncultured bacterium. Its description in RNAcentral is "partial 16S ribosomal RNA". It matches the Rfam family "Bacterial small subunit ribosomal RNA", at positions 524 to 776 of the family's 1533-position model. The record is from RNAcentral.
UACGGGGGGGGUAAGCGUUGUUCGGAAUUACUGGGCGUAAAGGGCUCGUAGGCGGCCAACUAAGUCAUACGUGAAAUCCCUCAGCUUAACUGGGGAACUGCGUGUGAUACUGGAUGGCUUGGAUUUGGGAGAGGGAUGCGGAAUUCCAGGUGUAGCGGUGAAAUGCGUAGAUAUCUGGAGGAACACCGGUGGCGAAGGCGGGUCUCUGGGCCGAAACUGACGCUGAGGAGCGAAAGCUGGGGGAGCGAACAGG